This 583-nucleotide ribosomal RNA is filed under the name uncultured bacterium. RNAcentral describes it as "bacterial SSU rRNA". It matches the Rfam family "Bacterial small subunit ribosomal RNA", at positions 102 to 681 of the family's 1533-position model. The record is from RNAcentral.
ACGGGUGAGUAAUAUAUCGGAACGUGCCCUAGAGUGGGGGAUAACUAGUCGAAAGACUAGCUAAUACCGCAUACGAUCUAAGGAUGAAAGUGGGGGAUCGCAAGACCUCAUGCUCCUGGAGCGGCCGAUAUCUGAUUAGCUAGUUGGUGGGGUAAAAGCCUACCAAGGCGACGAUCAGUAGCUGGUCUGAGAGGACGACCAGCCACACUGGGACUGAGACACGGCCCAGACUCCUACGGGAGGCAGCAGUGGGGAAUUUUGGACAAUGGGGGCAACCCUGAUCCAGCAAUGCCGCGUGAGUGAAGAAGGCCUUCGGGUUGUAAAGCUCUUUUGUCAGGGAAGAAACGGUUCCAGCUAAUAUCUGGAGCUAAUGACGGUACCUGAAGAAUAAGCACCGGCUAACUACGUGCCAGCAGCCGCGGUAAUACGUAGGGUGCAAGCGUUAAUCGGAAUUACUGGGCGUAAAGCGUGCGCAGGCGGUUGUGUAAGACAGAUGUGAAAUCCCCGGGCUCAACCUGGGAAUUGCAUUUGUGACUGCACGGCUAGAGUGUGUCAGAGGGGGGUAGAAUUCCACGUGUAGCAG